GCAAUAGCAAUAGAAACACUGAUUCCUGUAUGAUCACUGAAGUUAAGCAUUGUCAAUACAGGUCAGUACCUGAACGGGUGACCGCUUGGGAAUACCAGGUACUGUAAG
This 108-nucleotide ribosomal RNA is filed under the name Acanthosepion pharaonis. The record is from RNAcentral. Lineage: Eukaryota; Metazoa; Mollusca; Cephalopoda; Sepiida; Sepiidae.